CUUCUCUCUUCCCACCUCUAUCUGCCUUAUUGAACUUCAUCUUUCCUUCAUUCUCUUCAACUUCCACUUCUUCUUGUAUGGUCCUGUUGAUGCCAUCUUGUUUCCGUCCCCAGACUCAUCAUCUUUACCCUCUGUCAACUGAGUUCCCACCCUGGUUCUCUCUCAAGAUCUUCCUCUCAUAGCUUUCACCCUUGGUAAACAAUGAGGACACAUCUCAAAAAGAAUGAUGUAAUUUAAUUGCCUUGAGUUGGCUGGGCCAUCAUCUAUUAUAAAGUGCUCUUAAAAUUAAAGCUAAUUUAAUUCUGAAGAACUAAGGAUUAAGAAGUUAAGAGCUGGGGUUCUUACAAUAUGGCUUGCAGACUACAAGUGUGAACUGAGGAGGUCCCCAAAGUCACUUCUUACUAAGUUCAGAUAGGUGAUGGAUUGAAAAUAAUCCCAAUAUUCCACAAGCAACAUCAACAUCCCCCACACACCCAGCACCGAGGAAUACCCUCCUCUCUAGAAUGUGAGGCCACUGUGUGGAGGAAGACACCACGGUGCUCUACUGAGCCAUGAAAGUCACGCCUGACCUAAACAGAAGACUACGUCCCCUGGCUAAAAGAGGAAAUAGUUGAAAGCGGUGUAAAUGGCUCUUAUCUGAACCACAAUGAAUUCACAUAUUCAAGUUGGCUUCUUCGGAAAUUUCAGGC
This 689-nucleotide long non-coding RNA is filed under the name Homo sapiens (human). RNAcentral describes it as "HSALNT0357837". Lineage: Eukaryota; Metazoa; Chordata; Mammalia; Primates; Hominidae. The record is from RNAcentral.